Molecule: non-coding RNA, 937 nt
Organism: Cinara cedri
Lineage: Eukaryota; Metazoa; Arthropoda; Insecta; Hemiptera; Aphididae
Source: the annotation of a GenBank genome assembly
AUUUAAUAACUUAAUCAAAAAAUAUUAUUUGUGAUUCAGAGUAAAGAAUAUACAUUAAAUAUCUCAGUAUUUUUUUCUAUUAAAUAUAAUUAAAAAAAUAAAAAUUAAAAGCAUAAAUUUAUUUACAUUCUUAGUAUAGUGUAAUUUUGAUAAGCCCCCGUUUUGCUGCGCAUAACCCUUAAACCAGAAAAGACUAUGCGGAAAUAAUCUUAGGUGGUUUAUUAGUAAAUCAUAAACUACAUUCUAUUGAACUUAGUAACUAUAGUUAAGCUAUUAAUUCUUUUUUUCUGAAACAUACCUUAUAACAUUUAAGGUUUCCUUGAAGUAUUCUUAAAUCUUUGGUCAUACUCAAAAAAAGAUGAAGAUUACUUCUUUUAAUCAAACUCUCCAUCUUUUCUUGAGUAUGUCCAACCAUUUAACGGGCCAAUCUUUCUACCCUGAAGAGAAAAUAUUACAAAAUUUAUAAAUAAUAUUAUUAACUAAUUUACAGAAAAAUUUCGAGUAUAAAUUCAAUAUAUUUACCUUAUGAUAUAAAUUAUGGUAAUUAAACAAACAGAUGUUAGUGUCAUUUAAUAAUUUAAUCAAAAAAUAUUAUUUGUGAUGCAGAGUAAAAAAUACACAUUAAAUCUCUCAGUAUUUUUUUCUAUUAAAUAUAUUUAAAAAAAUAAAAAUUAAAAGCGUAAAUUUAUUUACAUUCUAAGUAUAGUGUAAUUUUGAUAAGCCCCCAUUUGCUGCGCAUAACCCUUAAACCAGAAAAGACUAUGCGGAAAUAAUCUUAGGUGGUUUAUUAGUAAAUCAUAAACUACAUUCUAUUGAACUUAGUAACUAUAGUUAAGCUAUUAAUUCUUUUUUUCUGAAACAUACCUUAUAACAUUUAAGGUUUCCUUGAAGUAUUCUUAAAUCUUUGGUCAUACUCAAAAAAAGAUGAAGAUUACUU